AGCACAGCAAGAGGGAGAGCUGCACAGCGCCUCUUGUUCUGCUGGCUUCCCAGCGAAGUGGGCGGAGGGAAGGAAGAGAGCCUAACCCUAACCCUAACCCUUCCGCCAGCAGAACAAGAGGCUCUGCGCAGCUCUCCCUCUUGCUGUGCC
Non-coding RNA from Podarcis lilfordi (Lilford's wall lizard), 150 nucleotides. The record is from the annotation of a GenBank genome assembly. NCBI's taxonomy places the organism in Eukaryota, Metazoa, Chordata, Lepidosauria, Squamata, Lacertidae.